GCGCUGCGCGCUCUGACUGUGAUGACGCCAGGGCUGAGCCGCUGUAGACUGCUUGCGGUGAGGGACCAGUGGACACCUGAAUUAGCAUCAUAUGGAGGACAUAUUUGAGUACUGCCGCUGACUUCUUAAAUCCUUUCCUAUUCUCAGAUAAGUAUCUGUGUUUUUAAAGAAAAAAGUCAUUGAGCAUCUUGGCACAUGCUUCCCAAGUGGGACUCAUUACCCUCUUCUGAAGGAGUGAACAUACUAAAAAAGCUUUGGAGGAUGAAAAGGAGGAAUGGAUGGAUGGAUGGAAAAUAGAGAACUUUUACUUCAAUGAAACUAUCACGUGUAACACUGCAAUGGUGGCUACCUAACAUUAUGUAUUUUUCAAAACCCAAAGAACUAUACAACGCAAAGGAUGAACCCUAAUACAGAAGACCCUUCGUGAAUGGACCAUGAAUUGAACUUUGACAUAGACCCCUCUAUUUUAAUACU
Long non-coding RNA from Phacochoerus africanus (Common warthog), 474 nucleotides. RefSeq lists it as uncharacterized. The record is from RefSeq and is a predicted model, not a curated record. NCBI's taxonomy places the organism in Eukaryota, Metazoa, Chordata, Mammalia, Artiodactyla, Suidae. The transcript has 5 exons.